Motacilla alba alba is the source of this 649-nucleotide long non-coding RNA. RefSeq lists it as uncharacterized. NCBI's taxonomy places the organism in Eukaryota, Metazoa, Chordata, Aves, Passeriformes, Motacillidae. The record is from RefSeq and is a predicted model, not a curated record. The transcript has 3 exons.
GGCUAAUCCUGGUGCUGCCACUCUGCAGCCACCGAAGCCACCAUCUGCUCUUUGCCCUGCUCCGGCCUUUGAUCAAACGGUAAAUAAAUCCUUCAGGAUAGGGAAGGAUUUCCUAGGUGCUGGCCAUACGGCAACAUAUUUGGUCAUUGCAUGGAGCCCUGGGUAGCACUGUGAUCGCUGAUUUAAUCCAGGAGAACCAACAAAACUACUGAAUUAUCAUAAUAGCUAACAUGCUUGGGAAUGCUUUAAAGGGUAACAUGUUGGAAGCUGUUCCAAGUCGGCUGGUUGGAUGUGACCAACAUGUUUUGGAGAGAGGAGAGUUUGUACAGACACAAACUGCACUAUGUCUGUUGGCUGUGGGAAUGAAGCACAGAAGCCAUUUCAUCUUAUAUAACACUUUACCCACAGUCUGAGACAGAACCGAGGAAAAUCUUCCCAAGUCUCUCAGAUGUCAGCUGAAAACAGAUGAGCUGGGAAUGCAGGUUGAAUACCUUCUUCAGCUCUUCCUUUGGACAAGUUCACUAAGUUCAGGAAACACCUUGGGAACAAUUCAUGUCAGUGUGUGUCUGUAUUACUUCUGUUGUUAGCAUGAAGAGCCUCAAAGUAAUCUAAGUCAAUGAUCUGAUUACUAAUAAAGAGCAGCGCUGGU